This 1177-nucleotide ribosomal RNA is filed under the name Campylobacter jejuni. Its description in RNAcentral is "partial 23S ribosomal RNA". It matches the Rfam family "Bacterial large subunit ribosomal RNA", at positions 1 to 1188 of the family's 2925-position model. The record is from RNAcentral. Lineage: Bacteria; Pseudomonadati; Campylobacterota; Epsilonproteobacteria; Campylobacterales; Campylobacteraceae.
GGUAAAAAAAAGGUAAGCUACUAAGAGCGAAUGGUGGAUGCCUUGACUGGUAAAGGCGAUGAAGGACGUACUAGACUGCGAUAAGCUACGGGGAGCUGUCAAGAAGCUUUGAUCCGUAGAUUUCCGAAUGGGGCAACCCAAUGUAUAGAGAUAUACAUUACCUAUAUAGGAGCGAACGAGGGGAAUUGAAACAUCUUAGUACCCUCAGGAAAAGAAAUCAAUAGAGAUUGCGUCAGUAGCGGCGAGCGAAAGCGCAAGAGGGCAAACCCAGUGCUUGCACUGGGGGUUGUAGGACUGCAAUGUGCAAGAGCUGAGUUUAGCAGAACAUUCUGGAAAGUAUAACCAUAGAGGGUGAUAGUCCCGUAUGCGAAAAACAAACCUUAGCUAGCAGUAUCCUGAGUAGGGCGGGACACGAGGAAUCCUGUCUGAAUCCGGGUCGACCACGAUCCAACCCUAAAUACUAAUACCAGAUCGAUAGUGCACAAGUACCGUGAGGGAAAGGUGAAAAGAACUGAGGUGAUCAGAGUGAAAUAGAACCUGAAACCAUUUGCUUACAAUCAUUCAGAGCCCUAUGUAGCAAUACAGGGUGAUGGACUGCCUUUUGCAUAAUGAGCCUGCGAGUUGUGGUGUCUGGCAAGGUUAAGCAAACGCGAAGCCGUAGCGAAAGCGAGUCUGAAUAGGGCGCUUAGUCAGAUGCUGCAGACCCGAAACGAAGUGAUCUAUCCAUGAGCAAGUUGAAGCUAGUGUAAGAACUAGUGGAGGACUGAACCCAUAGGCGUUGAAAAGCCCCGGGAUGACUUGUGGAUAGGGGUGAAAGGCCAAUCAAACUUCGUGAUAGCUGGUUCUCUCCGAAAUAUAUUUAGGUAUAGCGUUGUGUCGUAAUAUAAGGGGGUAGAGCACUGAAUGGGCUAGGGCAUACACCAAUGUACCAAACCCUAUCAAACUCCGAAUACCUUAUAUGUAAUCACAGCAGUCAGGCGGCGAGUGAUAAAAUCCGUCGUCAAGAGGGAAACAACCCAGACUACCAGCUAAGGUCCCUAAAUCUUACUUAAGUGGAAAACGAUGUGAAGUUACUUAAACAACCAGGAGGUUGGCUUAGAAGCAGCCAUCCUUUAAAGAAAGCGUAAUAGCUCACUGGUCUAGUGAUUUUGCGCGGAAAAUAUAACGGGGCUAAAGU